RNAcentral lists this ribosomal RNA (449 nucleotides) under uncultured cyanobacterium. Its description in RNAcentral is "bacterial SSU rRNA". It matches the Rfam family "Bacterial small subunit ribosomal RNA", at positions 28 to 524 of the family's 1533-position model. The record is from RNAcentral. Lineage: Bacteria; Bacillati; Cyanobacteriota.
GAUGAACGCUGGCGGUAUGCUUAACACAUGCAAGUCGAACGGACUCUUCGGAGUUAGUGGCGGACGGGUGAGUAACGCGUGAGAAUCUGCCUUCAGGUCGGGGAUAACGGUUGGAAACGACUGCUAAUACAGGAUGUGCAGCAAUGUGAAAGAUUUAUUGCCUGAAGAUGAGCUCGCGUCUGAUUAGCUAGUAGGUGUGGUAAUGGCGCACCUAGGCGACGAUCAGUAACUGGUCUGAGAGGAUGACCAGUCACACUGGGACUGAGACACGGCCCAGACUCCUACGGGAGGCAGCAGUGGGGAAUUUUCCGCAAUGGGCGAAAGCCUGACGGAGCAAUACCGCGUGCGGGAGGAAGCUUUUUGGAGUGUAAACCGCUUUUCUCAGGGAAGAUGAUGACGGUACCUGAGGAAUCAGCAUCGGCUAACUCCGUGCCAGGAGCCGCGGUAAU